RNAcentral lists this small RNA (84 nucleotides) under Marmota monax (woodchuck). Lineage: Eukaryota; Metazoa; Chordata; Mammalia; Rodentia; Sciuridae. The record is from RNAcentral.
GCUGGAUGUAGUGGUGCACAUCUGUAAUCCCAGCUACUUGGGGAGGCUGAGGCAGGAGGAUCAUAAGUUCAAGGCCAGCCUCGG